UGGAAAAUGCAAUUUGGUAAU
This 21-nucleotide non-coding RNA is filed under the name Caenorhabditis elegans. Lineage: Eukaryota; Metazoa; Nematoda; Chromadorea; Rhabditida; Rhabditidae. The record is from RNAcentral.